Molecule: ribosomal RNA, 239 nt
Filed under: uncultured bacterium
Lineage: Bacteria
Description: partial 16S ribosomal RNA
Source: RNAcentral
CUGCUGCCUCCCGUAGGAGUCUGGGCCGUGUCUCAGUCCCAAUGUGGCCGAUCAACCUCUCAGUCCGGCUACCGAUCGUCGCCUUGGUGGGCCGUUGCCCCACCAACUAGCUAAUCGGCCGCGAGCCCAUCUUCCAGCGGAUUGCUCCUUUGGCUGCAUCGGGAUGCCCCAUCGCAGCGUUAUGCGGUAUUACGCAGUCGUUUCCAACUGUUAUCCCCCUNUGAAAGGCAGGUUGCUCA